Molecule: ribosomal RNA, 506 nt
Filed under: uncultured bacterium
Lineage: Bacteria
Description: partial 16S ribosomal RNA
Rfam family: Bacterial small subunit ribosomal RNA
Source: RNAcentral
AGUGAACGCUGGCGGUAGGCCUAACACAUGCAAGUCGAACGGCAGCACAGAGGAGCUUGCUCCUUGGGUGGCGAGUGGCGGACGGGUGAGGAAUACAUCGGAAUCUACUCUGUCGUGGGGGAUAACGUAGGGAAACUUACGACAAUACCGCAUACGACCUACGGGUGAAAGCAGGGGAUCUUCGGACCUUGCGCGAUUGAAUGAGGCUAUGUCGGAUGAGCUAGUUGGCGGGGUAAAGGGCCACCAAGGCGACGAUCCGUAGCUGGUCUGAGAGGAUGAUCAGCCACACUGGAACUGAGACACGGUCCAGACUCCUACGGGAGGCAGCAGUGGGGAAUAUUGGACAAUGGGCGCAAGCCUGAUCCAGCCAUACCGCGUGGGUGAAGAAGGCCUUCGGGUUGUAAAGCCCUUUUGUUGGGAAAGAAAUCCAUCUGGUUAAUACCCGGAUGGGAUGACGGUACCCAAAGAAUAAGCACCGGCUAACUUCGUGCCAGCCGCCGCAGUAA